UUGAACGCUGGCGGCAGGCUUAACCCAUGCAAGUCGAGCGGUAGCACAGGGGAGCUUGCUCCCUGGGUGACGAGCGGCGGACGGGUGAGUAAUGUCUGGGAAACUGCCUGAUGGAGGGGGAUAACUACUGGAAACGGUAGCUAAUACCGCAUAACGUCGCAAGACCAAAGAGGGGGACCUUCGGGCCUCUUGCCAUCAGAUGUGCCCAGAUGGGAUUAGCUAGUAGGUGGGGUAAUGGCUCACCUAGGCGACGAUCCCUAGCUGGUCUGAGAGGAUGACCAGCCACACUGGAACUGAGACACGGUCCAGACUCCUACGGGAGGCAGCAGUGGGGAAUAUUGCACAAUGGGCGCAAGCCUGAUGCAGCCAUGCCGCGUGUGUGAAGAAGGCCUUCGGGUUGUAAAGCACUUUCAGCGAGGAGGAAGGUGGUGAGCUUAAUACGCUCAUCAAUUGACGUUACUCGCAGAAGAAGCACCGGCUAACUCCGUG
This 489-nucleotide ribosomal RNA is filed under the name uncultured bacterium. Its description in RNAcentral is "partial 16S ribosomal RNA". It matches the Rfam family "Bacterial small subunit ribosomal RNA", at positions 30 to 507 of the family's 1533-position model. The record is from RNAcentral.